UAGCUCAGCUGGUAGAGCAAAGGACUGAAAAUCCUUGUGUCCCCGGUUCGAAUCCG
Molecule: transfer RNA, 56 nt
Filed under: bacterium (Candidatus Torokbacteria) CG_4_10_14_0_2_um_filter_35_8
Lineage: Bacteria
Description: tRNA-Phe
Rfam family: tRNA
About the family: Transfer RNA (tRNA) molecules are approximately 80 nucleotides in length. Their secondary structure includes four short double-helical elements and three loops (D, anti-codon, and T loops).
Source: RNAcentral